This is a long non-coding RNA of Zingiber officinale, 350 nucleotides long. RefSeq lists it as uncharacterized. The transcript is spliced from 2 exons. NCBI's taxonomy places the organism in Eukaryota, Viridiplantae, Streptophyta, Magnoliopsida, Zingiberales, Zingiberaceae. The record is from RefSeq and is a predicted model, not a curated record.
GGAGGCGUUUUCGUCGGCUACAAGCGGGAGACGGACGCGACGGUUCGAGCGGAGAGCUUCGGGCGGGGGCGGUGACGGAGGCGGAGGUGGGUUGGUGCGCGUGAUUCCGGCAAGUAUCUUCCUUAGUAGUGGCAGAUAGAACCGCUAGUUACAUGUUCUGUUUGGGUAGAAGGAUUGAAUGAGGAAGAGGAGCUAAUCGAAAUCUGGAAUUUUUGGGAUUAAGAACUUGGUCUUGCAUUAUUUCUGGUUUUUAUUCUUUUUGUACUCAUUAAAUAUUAGAUUGGUGUAAACUAAUUGUUGAAUCUUGUAUAAGAAUUAAAUUAAAAUUCAGAUUCUAAUCUUGUGGAGAA